CCCGGCACCUCUGGCCAGGGCUGCUCACGCUGCCCAGCCGAGCAGAACCCUUUGGGCACUGGCUGGCACUGGCCUCCACUCCCUUCCUUCCUGCCACAGGCAUUUGGGAGAUACCUCAGGCCAGCUGAGAGGACGGGCAUCGUCCUUGUGGCCAUCGAGAUCCUGGGCCGCUCCAGCCUCCUGGACAAGAAGGCACCCAAGGAGUUUCUGGAGGUGGCCAUGGAAUCCCCUCAGCUGUGGCUGAUGGAUGUGCCAAAAAUUGUGAGACACAUCUUUGCAUACUAUGAUGAAACAAAUGCAGCAACUGCUCACAGCUUUCCCACACUGCUUGACCUGAUGGCCAAUAAGUGGCCUCGGCGAGUCGUCGCGACAGCUCUGGAGGUCGCGCCAAUAUCCUGCGACAAAGUCUGUCUGUGGAAGGCCAUGUUCUCCGUGCGCCAGACUCUGGAGAAGGUUUUGAAAGAGCUGCACAUCAAACUGCAGGAUGGGCAGAAGGACAUCUUCACUCAGCAGCAGAAGUCCUGCCUCACUUUCUUGGCUAUGCUGGCCUCUGAUGAUGUGGAAGAAGAGGAACUGGAUCCAUUGUACAAAGACUUGAGAAUUCUGAUGCAUUCAGGAAUCGAAAUGGUCCCUCUGGUGCUCAGGGCCCUUUUGACGCUGUCGGAGAGAGCUGAGACGGCAAGAAAAAUGAAGCGCGUCCUCCGAGAGUUGCUGAAAAUCCGGUGGGAAUGGUCUUGGGACAUUUCAGUGAUGGUUAUGGACAUCUUCCAAAAUGUACUGGGGCACCUGAAGAAGACAGAGGCCAGCCCCAUUGCUGUGAAGGUGGUGCAGAGGCUCUGGUACCUCUUUGAUGCGAAGGAAGACUGUGUGCGGGAGCACUCCAUCCGCCUCUUCAGAGACCUGCUGGGCAAAACAGUGUGUGUGGACAAGUAUGUCAUGAAGAAAUAUGCCUGGAAGGCCCUGGUCUGCCUCCUGCUUCACAUGAGUGAUGAGGCCCCCAGCGUGGCCAAGGCAUCUACAGAAGCCGUCCUGGCUAUAGCAGAGCUCCUCAAGUGGAAAGAGCUCAAGCAGCUGGCGCAGAUGGAGCAGACGUGGAGGAUGGGCGAGUGCUUGUUGGCCAAGGACAGCAGCAGGGCCGAACAGUUUGUGUGGGACAGCCAGCGCUACCUGUGGAGCCCUCAGGCCCCCAUGCGAGAGGCGGCCCUCAGGUUCAUUGGGCUGGCUGCGCGGCACCUGACAGAGCAGAGUGAGGACACCGUGGCUGAGGUGCUCUGGGAGCUUGACAGACUGCAAACAGGAGACAAGGAUCCCGCCAUCUGUUCCCUGGCAGCUCAGACCAGCUUGGUCCUGAAGUCUCCAAGGAAGCAGCGAAGAUCAGGAUUCUCCCUGCGUGCGCUGUGCUGCUGGUGCCGCUGAGCAGAGAGGGACCUUGAUCCUGGUCAAAAUGAGGACAGAGGUGCUGCCUGUGGAGAGAUCCAGAUCCCAGGCCUGGGGAAGCUGCUGGCACAUCCAUUCAAGUCACUCAAGAGAGAAGUGACCACUUUAUGGCUCUGGAUGCUCUCUGUGCCCACUUCAAGUUCAUCUGUCAGCAGAAAGGUAAGAGAAGCUGUGGUGGGCUGCAUCCCUGCGCACGGCCACAUCCCCCCGAUGCAUCUGCUCGUCUUCCCGGGCCUUGCGAUGGCCCCUUCUGUGCAGACACGGGGCUCAUGUGGGCUCUGCUUCUGUCACAGAACUUGAACUACUGCGGGCCAGAGAGAAGGAUCCUGGGCGCUCAGACCCGCCUGCCUAAAAUCCUGCGAGAGGACUCGGUGUGCCUGGAUCCAAGCCCAGCCACAGACCUGUCCAAACUGUAUAUAGUUCUAGAAAGUUAAUUACCCUAUAUAUAUC
RNAcentral lists this long non-coding RNA (1887 nucleotides) under Corvus moneduloides (New Caledonian crow). RNAcentral describes it as "lncRNA (ENSCMUG00000020011.1)". Lineage: Eukaryota; Metazoa; Chordata; Aves; Passeriformes; Corvidae. The record is from RNAcentral.